Molecule: ribosomal RNA, 592 nt
Filed under: uncultured bacterium
Lineage: Bacteria
Description: bacterial SSU rRNA
Rfam family: Bacterial small subunit ribosomal RNA
Source: RNAcentral
UGCAGUCGAGCGGAACGAUGUAGCUUGCUACAGGCGUCGAGCGGCGGACGGGUGAGUAACGCGUAGGAACCUACCUAAUAGUUUGGGAUAGCCAUUGGAAACGAUGAUUAAUACCGGAUACGCCCUACGGGGGAAAGCAGAGGACCUUCGGGCUUUGCGCUAUUAGAUGGGCCUGCGUAAGAUUAGCUAGUUGGUGAGGUAAUGGCUCACCAAGGCGACGAUCUUUAGCUGGUCUGAGAGGAUGAUCAGCCACACUGGAACUGAGACACGGUCCAGACUCCUACGGGAGGCAGCAGUGGGGAAUAUUGCACAAUGGGCGCAAGCCUGAUGCAGCCAUGCCGCGUGUGUGAAGAAGGCUCUAGGGUUGUAAAGCACUUUCAGUCGGGAGGAAAGGUUAUCAGUUAAUACCUGGUAGCUGUGACGUUACCGACAGAAGAAGCACCGGCUAACUCCGUGCCAGCAGCCGCGGUAAUACGGAGGGUCCGAGCGUUAAUCGGAAUUACUGGGCGUAAAGCGUACGUAGGUGGUUUGUUAAGUUGGAUGUGAAAGCCCAGGGCUCAACCUUGGAACUGCAUUCAAAACUGAUGAACUA